Molecule: ribosomal RNA, 674 nt
Filed under: uncultured equine intestinal eubacterium sp. CL08
Lineage: Bacteria
Description: bacterial SSU rRNA
Rfam family: Bacterial small subunit ribosomal RNA
Source: RNAcentral
ACACUGUAAACGAUGAUAACUAACCGUUGGCGAUACACAGUCAGUGGCUAAGCGAAAGCGAUAAGUUAUCCACCUGGGGAGUACGUUCGCAAGAAUGAAACUCAAAGGAAUUGACGGGGGCCCGCACAAGCGGAGGAACAUGUGGUUUAAUUCGAUGAUACGCGAGGAACCUUACCCGGGCUCGAACGGCGAGUGAAGAGAUCUAGAGAUAGUGACGUCCGCAAGGACACUUGUCGAGGUGCUGCAUGGUUGUCGUCAGCUCGUGCCGUGAGGUGUCGGCUUAAGUGCCAUAACGAGCGCAACCCUUGUCGUUAGUUGCCAUCAGGUAAUGCUGGGAACUCUAGCGAGACUGCCACCGCAAGGUGUGAGGAAGGGGGGGAUGACGUCAAAUCAGCACGGCCCUUACGUCCGGGGCGACACACGUGUUACAAUGGUGGGUACAGAAGGAAGCUACCUGGCGACAGGAUGCAAAUCUUCAAAACCCAUCUCAGUUCGGAUUGGAGUCUGCAACUCGACUCCAUGAAGUUGGAUUCGCUAGUAAUCGCGCAUCAGCCAUGGCGCGGUGAAUACGUUCCCGGGCCUUGUACACACCGCCCGUCAAGCCAUGAAAGCCGAGGGUGCCUGAAGUUCGCGACCGCAAGGAACGACCUAGGGCAAAAUUGGUAAUUGGGGCU